This 229-nucleotide ribosomal RNA is filed under the name uncultured bacterium. Its description in RNAcentral is "partial 16S ribosomal RNA". It matches the Rfam family "Bacterial small subunit ribosomal RNA", at positions 568 to 796 of the family's 1533-position model. The record is from RNAcentral.
UACGUAGGCGGAAAAUUUAGUCAGUGGUGAAAUCCCGCAGCUUAACUGUGGAACUGUCAUUGAUACUGGUUUUCUUGAAUUUAGUUGAGGUAGGCGGAAUGUGUAAUGUAGCGGUGAAAUGCUUAGAUAUUACACAGUACACCGAUUGCGAAGGCAGCUUACUAAGCUAUGAUUGACGCUGAGGUACGAAAGCGUGGGGAGCGAACAGGAUUAGAUACCCUGGUAGUCC